Non-coding RNA from Phalacrocorax carbo (great cormorant), 1004 nucleotides. NCBI's taxonomy places the organism in Eukaryota, Metazoa, Chordata, Aves, Suliformes, Phalacrocoracidae. The record is from RefSeq and is a predicted model, not a curated record.
CAACAACCAGCGCUUUGAAAAACCUCAAGCUUCCUGUGCUCUUGGACACUUUGUAUUUUACAGUAACACAGACCCACUGAAAACAUGACCUGUUGUAUCCAUGAACAAGGCUUCUACCCUCAAAAAAACCUCCAGUCAACAGCCUGCAGAGGUGGGAAAACACAGGACUUGGAAGAUGUUCCUGUCAUGGGCUUACCAGUUUGCUCUGAAUAGAAAUGGAAGAAAAUAACAACUCUCCCAAACCUCACCGCAGCCAUUUGCUUGUGAACCUGCCAGGAGAAAGAGCUGAGCGCAACUCUGGCAUGAGAGAGAGAGACUGCCCACAGAAGACCAGUACACUUGAUCCUCUUGACUUUACUGAGAUGCAACUAAUGAGCAACAGAUGGGCUUCACCCAAGGAGGGUAUUUGCAGAAGGAGAUCAAGCAUCCACACCACUUCCAAGCUCCACGGCACAAAAAGCACUGACACAGCUUGUACUGACACAACCUCUGUUCCAGCAUAGCCUGCACGCUCAUCUUCUCAAUUUGUCUGACCGGAUGGUUCUUAUUGGCAAAAGAAAACCUACUCAGUUGUUGCAAAAGAUCAAGAUACAUCAGGCAUCUGUCACCAGGAAAAAGCAGGGCCGCAUUUCCAAAGGCAACGGGAAGGUCAUUCAUGGGGCAGCAGUGAAAACAGCUCCAGGCUGCUUCGCAUCCACCUUAAAUACAGUCACCUAUUUGCGCUGCAAGUCUGACAUCAGUGAGAAGCCCUGGGACGAAGAGCGGCUCCCCAGAAGCAAAGAUGAUCACUGACAAUGCAGAAUACAUUAAGUUAGAGCUUCAAAGGUUUGUUUGCCACAUUGAAGCAUCUCCAAGUUUAACAGCAGAAGCUGCCAACCGAUGCUGUAGUCUGGGGGACCCAAAUCCCUCAUCAAAUGUCAAGUUUGGUACCUGCUUAUAUUCAGGGAGUAUUUCCACCAUCUGACUACCUCUGCUUUUCUUUAAUAAAUACAGCGUAACAGAUA